This 403-nucleotide ribosomal RNA is filed under the name uncultured Anaerovorax sp. RNAcentral's name for it is "bacterial SSU rRNA". It matches the Rfam family "Bacterial small subunit ribosomal RNA", at positions 353 to 772 of the family's 1533-position model. The record is from RNAcentral. Lineage: Bacteria; Bacillati; Bacillota; Clostridia; Peptostreptococcales; Anaerovoracaceae.
AGUGGGGAAUAUUGCACAAUGGGCGAAAGCCUGAUGCAGCAACGCCGCGUGAGCGAUGAAGGCCUUUGGGUCGUAAAGCUCUGUCCUUGGGGAAGAAUAAAUGACGGUACCCUUGGAGGAAGCCCCGGCUAACUACGUGCCAGCAGCCGCGGUAAUACGUAGGGGGCAAGCGUUAUCCGGAAUUAUUGGGCGUAAAGAGUGCGUAGGUGGUUUUGUAAGCGCGGGGUGAAAGGCAAUGGCUCAACCAUUGUAAGCCUUGCGAACUGCAAGACUUGAGUGCAGGAGAGGAAAGUGGAAUUCCUAGUGUAGCGGUGAAAUGCGUAGAUAUUAGGAGGAACACCAGUGGCGAAGGCGACUUUCUGGACUGUAACUGACACUGAGGCACGAAAGCGUGGGGAGCAAA